Non-coding RNA from Halenospora varia, 89 nucleotides. Lineage: Eukaryota; Fungi; Ascomycota; Leotiomycetes; Helotiales; Solenopeziaceae. The record is from the annotation of a GenBank genome assembly.
UCCGGUAUAGUGUAGGGGUUAACAUAGCCCGCUUUCAUGAUUAAUAUCAGGUUUCCGGGCAGCCCCGGGUUCGAUUCCCGGUACCGGAA